AGAGUUUGAUCCUGGCUCAGAUUGAACGCUGGCGGAAUGCUUUACACAUGCAAGUCGAACGGCAGCACGGACUUCGGUCUGGUGGCGAGUGGCGAACGGGUGAGUAAUACAUCGGAACGUGCCCAGUCGUGGGGGAUAACGUAGCGAAAGCUACGCUAAUACCGCAUACGAUCUACGGAUGAAAGCGGGGGAUCGCAAGACCUCGCGCGAUUGGAGCGGCCGAUGGCAGAUUAGGUAGUUGGUGGGGUAAAGGCUCACCAAGCCGACGAUCUGUAGCUGGUCUGAGAGGACGACCAGCCACACUGGGACUGAGACACGGCCCAGACUCCUACGGGAGGCAGCAGUGGGGAAUUUUGGACAAUGGGCGCAAGCCUGAUCCAGCCAUUCCGCGUGCAGGAUGAAGGCCCUCGGGUUGUAAACUGCUUUUGUACAGAACGAAAAGGCUCUGGUUAAUACCUGGGGCUCAUGACGGUACUGUAAGAAUAAGCACCGGCUAACUACGUGCCAGCAGCCGCGGUAAU
Molecule: ribosomal RNA, 521 nt
Filed under: uncultured bacterium
Lineage: Bacteria
Description: bacterial SSU rRNA
Rfam family: Bacterial small subunit ribosomal RNA
Source: RNAcentral